AUACGGAGGGUGCAAGCGUUAAUCGGAAUUACUGGGCGUAAAGCGUACGUAGGCGGUUCGUUAAGUUAGAUGUGAAAGUCCCGGGCUUAACCUGGGAACCGCAUUUAAAACUGGCGAACUAGAGUUGAGUAGAGGGGAGUGGAAUUUCAGGUGUAGCGGCGAAAUGCGUAGAGAUCUGAAGGAACACCAGUGGCGAAGGCGACUCCCUGGACUCGAACUGACGCUGAGGUACGAAAGCGUGGGGAGCAAACAGGAUUAGAUACCCUAGUAGUCC
Molecule: ribosomal RNA, 274 nt
Filed under: uncultured bacterium
Lineage: Bacteria
Description: partial 16S ribosomal RNA
Rfam family: Bacterial small subunit ribosomal RNA
Source: RNAcentral